GACGAACGCUGGCGGCGUGCUUAACACAUGCAAGUCGAACGGAAAGGCCCUGCUUUUGUGGGGUGCUCGAGUGGCGAAAGGGUGAGUAACACGUGAGUAACCUGCCCUUGACUUUGGGAUAACUUCAGGAAACUGGGGCUAAUACCGGAUAGGAGCUCCUGCUUCAUGGUGGGGGUGGGAAAGUUUCGGCGGUUGGGGAUGGACUCGCGGCUUAUCAGCUUGUAGGUGGGGUAGUGGCUUACCAAGGCUUUGAAGGGUAGCCGGCCUGAGAGGGUGACCGGGCAAAUGGGGACUGAGAUACGGCCCAGACUCCUACGGGAGGCAGCAGUGGGGAAUAUUGCACAAUGGGCGGAAGCCUGAUGCAGCAACGCCGCGUGCGGGAUGACGGACUUCGGGUUGUAAACAGCUUUAGCCUGUGACGAAGCGUGAGUGACGGUAAUGGGUAAAGAAGCACCGGCUAACUACGUG
This 468-nucleotide ribosomal RNA is filed under the name uncultured bacterium. Its description in RNAcentral is "partial 16S ribosomal RNA". It matches the Rfam family "Bacterial small subunit ribosomal RNA", at positions 28 to 507 of the family's 1533-position model. The record is from RNAcentral.